CUGCUAAAUUUACGGACGCUGAAACUCUAUGGUUGUCAUUCACUUAAAGAGUUACCGCGGGGCCUUAAGAAGUUGGUCAAUCUUAGGCAUUUAGACGUUAGUGAAUGUAGCGAAUUGACGCAUAUGCCCCUUGGACUUGGGCAUCUUACUUCUCUUGAGAUGCUACCGAAUUUCGUCGUGAGGCAAGUGGGUUCCAAGGCUAGGUCUGGUGGUGGGCUAAGUGAAUUGAAGGAGCUGAGCAAUUUGGGAGGAAAUCUACUCAUUGAAUAUUUGGGACAUGGAGAAGAUGACAUGGUGGAAUGUAAAGCCACAAAUAUGAAGCAGAAACAACAUCUUCAAGGGUUGGAAUUACUGUGGGAACCAUACGGGGAUGAUGGAGAAACUGAAUGUUAUGAUGAAAUGUCACUGGAAGGGCUCCAGCCACAUCCAAAUCUUAAAGCGUUGUAUUUGUGGAAUUAUAUGGGUGUGAGAAUUCCAAGUUGGGUCUCUUCUCUCACUAAUCUUGUUCAUUUUGAAUUAUAUGAUAAUAGGAGAUUGCAGCACCUCCCACCGUUAAAUCAACUCCCUUUUCUCAAGGUUGUCAGGCUUGUUCGAAUGGAAGCACUUGAAUACAUUUGGAUAGAUGAAGACAGUGUUAGUAACGUGUUGGGUGCUUCCUCUUCUUCUUCUUCUUCUUCUUCAAAAACACCAUUCUUCCCAUCCUUAUCUUUUCUAUAUAUAUCUGAAUGCCCAAAACUGAAGGGAUGGUGGAGGAAUUCAGAUGAUGAUGAUAAUGAGCCACACCAUCUCUUGCUUCCAUCAUUUCCUCCUUCUCUUUCGCAAUUAAGUAUCGUCGAUUGCCCUAACCUGACUUCCAUGCCCCUGAUUCCCCCCUCUUUGAAAGAGCCACGUAUUGAGGGUUGUCCCCUCUUACGGCUACACGAAGGAAACAGUGAAGAUUGUCCCAAAUAAUUCCAACAAGAAAAAACAAUUUAUUCAGAAUCUGAGUCAGAGUCAGCUUCUCCUACUUCAGGUAUGCAUCUCUCUUCUUCUUGUUGGUGCCUCUUGAGAUUUGGGAUAUUUUGGAGAAGUUGUUAGUUAUGUGACUUCUUAUGCUGAACCAACUGAGACAAAGAACAAGCUUGGCUUCAAAAUUCGGAACCUUUUCAAAAAUUGCAAUUGUGCAACGGCUCAAGAACUAGAACUCAGUGGUUGUUACACCAAAAACAACGCCCAAGUUUUAGAACUUUUGGUUUUUCCAAUGAUUGGUAAUUUUGGCACUUCCCUCGCUGCUAAGGCCGUGGCCUUUGGUUCUUGAAUUUGGCUGUGGAGUCCGUGUGAAAUUGAGGCAGCAAACAUGAGUAUAGGAGGGAAAGAACAUAAAAGUGGAAUCUGAUUGCAUCUUUGACUACUCUAGAACAAAUUAAGGCAAAAUUUGUACCCUGUUCUUCAAAGCUUUCUGGUCAUGGACUCAAUGGCUGUGCAGCCACUGUCUGAACAUUGGACAACAUUGAGCACAUCCUUUUCUCUAAUCACUAUGAAGAAGAGGAGCCCUACAUGUGGGCCACCACUCACGAGUAUGGAGCAUUGCAUGGUGGAUUAAUAGAAUACAUGGAGUUCUUCAGGCCUAAGAGAGGUAGUACGAGUAAGGAUGGUUGAGCUGUGAUAGACUAUUUGCCUCAAUGUCUCAAGGAGAGCCAUUGUUUUAUGUUAGUGAAGUGGCAAAUAGAGAUGACUGUUCAAGUAAGCUUGCAAUUGGUCUCAUAACUCCUUUUUCUAUAAGAGGGAUGUCAGCCAUUAUAUGGCCAUGUAGCUCCCCUUUGAAUGGUUAUCGAAUGGAGACUAUGUAACACUAAACAGACGAAGGGGAAUUUUUUACAUCAUUCUUGAAUCUAGCUAUCACAAAGAAGCUGUAAAAGAUCACAUAAUGAUUUGGAAUGCUCAGUAUUGUCCUUUUGAAGAAGUAUUAGUCAUCUUCAACAGUUUUGGAAGAGAAAAUGAGGACAAUUGAGUAGAUCUAGUUAUUUCAUCCGGAAUGCUGAAUUUGCAAUUCUCAACAUGUUGAAAUCUGUUGUCAGCUAGGCUAUCAAAUAUUUCAUUAAUUUUUCAAAUAUCAUAAGUCGGGUGGCCAACUUUGUGUUAGGCUUUAGUGGAUC
Quercus lobata is the source of this 2135-nucleotide long non-coding RNA. RefSeq lists it as uncharacterized. The transcript has 8 exons. NCBI's taxonomy places the organism in Eukaryota, Viridiplantae, Streptophyta, Magnoliopsida, Fagales, Fagaceae. The record is from RefSeq and is a predicted model, not a curated record.